RNAcentral lists this ribosomal RNA (484 nucleotides) under uncultured bacterium. RNAcentral describes it as "partial 16S ribosomal RNA". It matches the Rfam family "Bacterial small subunit ribosomal RNA", at positions 30 to 507 of the family's 1533-position model. The record is from RNAcentral.
AUUGAACGCUGGCGGCAGGCCUAACACAUGCAAGUCGAGCGGAUGAAGGGAGCUUGCUCCUGGAUUCAGCGGCGGACGGGUGAGUAAUGCCUAGGAAUCUGCCUGGUAGUGGGGGAUAACGUCCGGAAACGGGCGCUAAUACCGCAUACGUCCUGAGGGUGAAAGUGGGGGAUCUUCGGACAUCACGCUAUCAGAUGAGCCUAGGUCGGAUUAGCUAGUUGGUGGGGUAAAGGCCUACCAAGGCGACGAUCCGUAACUGGUCUGAGAGGAUGAUCAGUCACACUGGAACUGAGACACGGUCCAGACUCCUACGGGAGGCAGCAGUGGGGAAUAUUGGACAAUGGGCGAAAGCCUGAUCCAGCCAUGCCGCGUGUGUGAAGAAGGUCUUCGGAUUGUAAAGCACUUUAAGUUGGGAGGAAGGGCAGUAAGUUAAUACCUUGCUGUUUUGACGUUACCAACAGAAUAAGCACCGGCUAACUUCGUG